RNAcentral lists this non-coding RNA (29 nucleotides) under Mus musculus (house mouse). Lineage: Eukaryota; Metazoa; Chordata; Mammalia; Rodentia; Muridae. The record is from RNAcentral.
UGACUUGCUUUUGCCCUUGUGCCUAGUUA